CCCGCGCCCGCGCGCGCGCUGCCCCAGCGCCCCGCCGCCGGGGGAGCCUGCGGGAGGGGCGCCCGCGGCCUCGGCGCCCCCUGGCUGCCCGGCGCCGCCCCUCCGCCCCCCUAGCGCCGGCCGGGGCGGAUUAGGAAGCCGCGGCACAGCCCCGGAGAGCGGGGCGCAGCGGCGGGGCCGAGGGUCAAGGUCACUCGGCGGGCGCGGGGAGGAUCCCAGGAGGCCCCGAGCGCCCAAGGCCGGCGCCUCCACUCGGGAGCUGAAGUCGGCGCGGCUGGUCGCUCCCGCCUGGCCCGGGUUAUCUCGCAGUGGCUUGGCCCAGCCUCUCAGUCACCUGCACUGUUGGCCCUGCGGUGGAUAACCUGAUGAUGGGCCCCUUGCCAAGUGGCUACUGGGCGCUGCCUAUAUUUCGUGCCCAGCUCUCAUGUCGCCGCCUCCAGGAAGGAGUCCCUGAUGUCAGGCUGGUGGGCUGCCUGUCUGGGCCCAGUGGCCCACCGCCCCCUGCCUCUGCUCAGUCAGGUCUUCAGAGAGCUGGAUAAAGAAGAAAAGAGAGAGAGGAACCACGCCAGACACGCUGCUCUUCCUGCCUGGCCCCUGAGUGGUUCCGCCCCGGGCCGGGCCAGCUGUGUAACUGCGGGACGAAAAUGGGGGCUCGUUGUUCAAAAAGCAGGAAAAACGUGUCCUUAAAGGGACGAAAGUAUAGAGCUUUCCCCUUUCUUCCGCUGUCUUUCUUGUCACUUAUCAUGGUGGUUUUUUAUUUGCUAUUUGCUGUUAAAUGUCAACCUAAGUAAAGGAAAAUGAAAAUUUAAUUUUGCCUUUUUAUUCUUUACGUGCAUUUAACUCACAUAUGGAAUCGCGGAGUUUACCGUUUAGGUCGCGCCUCGUGCGUGCACGUGCAUUUCACUCUCCAGAGGGGAAACACGCACAAAACGGACUCAACAGCCCUCACGUCCCUUUCGUGUUCACACAGCCAGCUCCCUCUGCCUCCGGCUCACUCCGGGGAGCGAGGAGUCAGAAAUGGAUGGACGGUGGGAAAGGAUGUGGUCCUCAGAACAGGUUCCGGUUUGAACAGCGGGUGGGGCCUCCCCAGCUGUCAGGGCCCCUCGAGGGGAUAAGCUCACAGGACAAGCCCACCUGGACUCGCCUGGCUUCCCACGGAGCCCCGCUCACAGCGGGUCCCCAGCAUCCCGACUCUGGGGCCGCCAGCGCAGGAUGCAAGCACGAGCCCUGAGCGCCGCCCCUGUUCCGCCGGAGCAGCUCGAGCAGCUCGUGCUCCAGUGGGGGGCCUGGGGGUGGGGUGGAGCUCUGUGGCCCGGAAAGCGAGGCUGCCCGAGAGAGCGCAGCUUGUCCGUCUGCCUGUUUGCACAUCAUUGGUGCCGCCUGCAGGGCUGGCUCUUUUGGGUGACCAAAGGGAAUCUGCUGGAACCCAAGGGGCCCAGCACAGGUCUGUCUGGGGCCCCCACCCCAAGGCAUCAAACCCGUGGCUCCCAGCAUGGUCCUCCUGGGUCGUGGGCCCAUUUGCUGCUGCCCCCUCCCCCAUCUCCAUGGCUCCUCCUUCUGCCCCCAAACCAGAGACCUGUCUCCCCACAGCUGUUGUGUGACCUUGGGCGGGCACCUCCCCUCUCUGAAUCUCAGAGGGCCGCAAUGCUGUGGGCUGCCCAACUUGCUUGCCAUCAGCCAGCCCCAGAAACAGUUGUCCUUCUCUCUCACCCACCUCUUUGCCACCCUUGGAGACACUUCAGGGACUUGUCGGUGUCCACGUCAUGCAGAUUUCACUGGCCCUGGGCCUGGGGCAGCCUGACCCUCUUCCCGGGGUGGGGGUGUCGAUCCCCCAGCAUGUUGUCUCCUCCACAGUCGGAGUUUCCGCUGACACAGCCGUGCUUCCUCG
Molecule: long non-coding RNA, 1888 nt
Filed under: Equus asinus (donkey)
Lineage: Eukaryota; Metazoa; Chordata; Mammalia; Perissodactyla; Equidae
Description: lncRNA (ENSEASG00005036490.1)
Source: RNAcentral